UGGGGAAUCUUGCACAAUGGGGGAAACCCUGAUGCAGCGACGCCGCGUGCGGGACGAAGGCCCUAGGGUUGUAAACCGCUUUCAGCAGGGACGAAAGUGACGGUACCUGCAGAAGAAGCCCCGGCCAACUAUGUGCCAGCAGCCGCGGUGAUACAUAGGGGGCGAGCGUUGUCCGGAUUUACUGGGCGUAAAGAGCUCGUAGGCGGUUUACCAAGUCAGAAGUGAAAUCUCCAUGCUCAACAUGGAGCGG
Molecule: ribosomal RNA, 250 nt
Filed under: uncultured bacterium
Lineage: Bacteria
Description: partial 16S ribosomal RNA
Rfam family: Bacterial small subunit ribosomal RNA
Source: RNAcentral